This is a long non-coding RNA of Helianthus annuus (common sunflower), 178 nucleotides long. RefSeq lists it as uncharacterized. The record is from RefSeq and is a predicted model, not a curated record. Lineage: Eukaryota; Viridiplantae; Streptophyta; Magnoliopsida; Asterales; Asteraceae. The transcript has 2 exons.
UUUUGUGUUUUGUAAUUUUAGGUGAAGAGCUUCUUUCAGACUCCUUCCCCUACAAGGAACUAUUGAAUGAGUUCCUAUGAGAAGUUGAAGAAAAGUUAUGGAUAAUGAAAACAAUGCUCCUUCGUUAUUAAAGUCGAUUGAGGACUAUGAUCCUAUAUUUUUCGAAUUGUUCGUCGAC